RNAcentral lists this long non-coding RNA (629 nucleotides) under Pan troglodytes (chimpanzee). RNAcentral's name for it is "lincRNA". Lineage: Eukaryota; Metazoa; Chordata; Mammalia; Primates; Hominidae. The record is from RNAcentral.
ACCGCCUCAGGGAAGAGGAAGGAGGCCGCGGCUUCGCGUCCCGCCUCUCGCCUGGCUGGCCGUGGGGGGCCUGGACGCAGUGGCCUCCCGAAUCUCCCAGGACCCUAAUGUCGCCCGAGGAUGCUGGGAGGAACACUGAGCCGACCUCUCCGUUAGGCUGAAGAUUGCACAAACCAUGCUAAUGGCCAGCAUGGGUGGAGGGAGCGUGUGAGAUGUGUGGGGCGGCGUGCUGCAUCUCAGCCAACUCCAGGAGCCUGUUGAUGUGAUGGACUACCUUAAUUGAUUUUUGAAUGUUGAGCCAGCCUUAUGCAUGUGGGAUAAACCCCUGUUGAUCAUGGCUGGCUGGAGUGCAGUGGUGCAAUCAUGGCUCACUGCAACCUCAAAUUCCUGGGCUCAAGGGAUCCUCCUGCCUCAGCCUCCCAAGUAGCUAGGACCACAGGAAGCAUGCUCAUGGCAAUACCCGGAGUCUCCACUGCAAGACCAGAGUGAUGGAGGCAGCAGAGCUCCUCAGCAGGCCAGGAGUCUCCAGAGGCACUGCCGAAUGUCUAAGAAGCAACCUCAUUGUAUUCCCAAGAGCUGGGAAUCCAGGUCUCGCAGAUACGAUGAUACAAUCUAUAGCCAGGACAUCU